GUGUACAUGGAUGUUUUGUUGUCUUACAUAUAUUUUAGUUAUAAAUAUAUGUAUUGACAUGUUGUUGUGUUUGCGUAUGCUAGUUGGUAUGAAGGUUGUUACACUAGUAUAUGUGGGGAAUAGAAUACUUAUGUAUUUGCGUAGUGGCGUAUAUGUCAAGAGGACUGUACAGGAUAUUUGUGUAGAUGUCAAGGUUUAAUGCCUUACGUUUACCCUUGUAUGCGACACGCAUGUGAAUGUUGUCGGUACUAGAUUCUUUUUGGGAGAAUAUAUUUAGAAUCGAUAGAAUGACUAGGAGUUUAUACCGGAAGUUCUAGUGGAAGAGUAUAGAUGGGUUUGAGAUAAGUGGGGGAGAAAGUUGUGUCUCUCCGAGAUGGUUCGAAUGUGAAGAAGUUAGGAUGGAUGGAGAUGCUCUUGAAGUAGAUUGUUCAAGAUUGAUUAGUGUUGUUCGAAGUGGAAGGAACUUGGACAGCAAGUUGUGAGGAUUGCUAGAUGAGAAGUUGUUGGACUAAGUGUUCGUCAUGGGAUCAACACUGAGAUUGGUUAAGAAAGAUGAAGACCGUUUGGAAACGAUUGGAGAUCGUGUAGUGUACAAAAGAGUAUGGACUAGAGGCGGAUGAGAACUACAAGAAUUUCUCAGAAGCAAUACCAUGGAAUGGAAGGAGUAGGACGUUGUCGUUCAGACAAGUUGAGUAAGGACGAGUAGACGUCAAUUUGAUAAGGGAUUGAAAGUAAAGUUCUUAUUUGGAGAGUAUUUUGGAGGAAAUAUUAGAUGAUCAUUCCGGAAGAUUCAGAAUGAGUCGAACUAAAGUUGUUUAACCGUAAAGAGAAUGUGACCAUUGUGGAAUGGUGGAACGGACAGAGAUGUUAAAUGGAAACCGUUGUUGGAAAACGGAGAAGACGUUGUGCGUUAAGAGUAGGCGAACCUAGUGAUGAUUAGGUGAUGGUUAUAAGAAUGGUGGGAAUACCUAUAGAGUUGUAUCGGUGUGAGCUAAACUUGUUAAUUAUUAGCAAGUGAACCUUUAAGGAAAGUAAACAUUUUGAAUAGUUCGAAGAGACUAGUCAAGAUUGGAAUAAAGAUUUUGUGUGGAUGAACUUUAGGAUGUUAUGACUUUAAGAUAGUCACGAGAUGCGAAUAAGAACUGAUCGAAUGGAGAAAAGUAUGUUUGUCACAGUGAAGAACGAUAAGGAACGUGACUAGUUGGAUUGUGUGCGACAAAUAAGGACGUUGUUGGAAUCAACAAGAUAUGAACUGUGGUUGUUUGGAAAUCAACUUUUGGAUAGUCACCGAGAUUGAAUAUGGAAUUACUAGGUGAUCGAGAAGAGCCUAGGAAGGAUUUAUAGCGGUUGAGUGUGUUAGAAUCGAGUAGUCAUUUCUUGGAAAGAUUUGAGAAGCUUAGAAUAUAGAUGUUAAGCUUAGAGAACCAUUAGUGUUGUAUAACCAAGGAAAAGAAGUGAGUUCUCAUAGUAGAUGAGAAUGAAAUUAAGAGAUACCAUAGUAGGUUAGUAAACUUGUGAGGGUAUCAAGUAGUAGAGGAUGGUAUGAGUAGUAGAGUUAUUUCAAGAUGGAAGUGGGGUGACAAUUUGAUGGAUUUUGUAAGAGCUUGUCGAGAAAGAAAUAAUUUCAUUUGGAUAAUGAUCGGACGAUUAGUGUCGGAGUUGGAUGAAACCUUAGGAGGUUGAGAUGGAACUGAGAGCGAAGUAUCAUUUUUGGAUGUUUGGAAAUAAGAAAGUAUCAGAGAGAGUGUUUUGUAACAUUCGGAAGUAAGAAUGAGAUUGACAACGACUUAUUGGAAAAGUCGGUGGAGAUUUGAGAUGUUGGACACAUCGUAUCCGUUGGAAUAGUAAAAUUAUACCAUGUGGUAAAGGAGUAAAGGAUUUCGAAUAUUUUCAUCAUGGAUGGUGAAACAACAAUGAGUCUAUGGGUGACUUAAAAUAAUAUUUUGAUAAGGGUAUCGCGGCGGAAAAGCGACAUUGGAAAUGUUAUGUUACGUAAUCUAAGAAUUUAACGGUUAGAGGUGGUGAAUUUGAUAAGUGUCAAGAAAAAUUUGAGGAGUUGAUCAACUAAGGAAUGUUGAGGUUGUGUUGUCAACUAAAUGAUUGGAAUAAGAUUUGACGCAGUUAAGGGAUUGAAGAAAAGUUGAGGACUUAUGGAACUUGAAAAGUUGUAAGGUAUUCAACGAAAACGUCUUUUCAAGGUGUAUUAGACUGAUUAGAGUUUGUUUUGAGUGGUGCAGUGAGUACCGUAAGAUAUUAAGUGGACGUUUUGGUGGUUUGAUAAGAAUGGUUUAUACCGACAUCAUGAUUGUUGACUAUCUAUCGACAAAUCGAGGGAUUAGCUGUCCUUGAUCUAUUGUUGGUAGUAGACGAGAUUGUGUUGGUUGGGAUAGACUAAUUUUGUCAAACUUAUUAAUACGUGGAGUUUGAAGUGUUUUGUUGGAAAUCGGAUAAAAGAGUUAUCCGGAGUUGUUUUAAGUCGGGUAAUUUUCGAGGGCGAAAAUCUUUUAAGUGGGAGAGAGUUGUAACGACCCGAAAUUUAUUAUUCGUUAUUUAAUUAUUUUAUUACGCGAGGGCGUAAUUCAUAAUUAUUUUAUUAAGCGGCGAAUAAUUAAUUGGCGCGAAUAUAAGUUAAUACGCGAGUUAGGAGCGUUACGUGAGUGAACCGUAUUAUUGGGCCUUGGAUUUGUUAUUGGGCUUUUGGCCCAAUGGGCCAAGACAAGUGGGAAGGGGGAGGUUUACUCAUGCAAGUGGGAGGAGAUAUUUCCACAAUUUUUCUUGUUGGAUAAGAAGAAGAGAAAAAGUCAUGAGCAAGUGGAUGAUCAUGGUUAAGUGAGUGAACCAUGAUUAACUUGAACUUGGAGAGCAAGACUAGAUCAAGUGACCAUGAUUCUUUGUGUGGUGAGCAAGAAUAGAUCAAAAGGCCAUGUUUAAUUCAAGCUUUCUAUAUAAUUAUAUGAAUAGGAAAAAUCACAUAAUUCAUUCAUUUCUUUCCUCAAAACCGUGAGCCUUCCUUAUCAUGCCUAACCCUUCACCAAAUUUUCAUUUCUUCACCAAAUUGAUCCAUUAGAAGCUUGUUGGAAUCAUGGGAGUUCAAGGAUCAUCAUCCCUAAGCUAGGGCAAGCAAGAGAGCAAAGCAAGAGGGUGCUAGGGCUUGAGAAAGAGAUGAGCUCAUGAGAGCUAGAACAUGAGGAGCUUGAGGAUUCAUCAAAUUUCUAAGAUAUCCAGAUUGACAGGUUAUAUGUUAGCUUGUCCGAGUAGCGUGGUGAAGCUCCGCUCUUAUUGUGACACGGGGAGAAAAGGGGUUUUGUAUAUAUAUAUAAAAAUUCCUUUAGAAAAUUACUCUGUAAUUGCUUAUGUUUUCAUAUAAGAAUUAUUCUUUGUGAAAAGUAUUGGUUUUGUAUAACUUAUAACGCAUCGUGUUGAUGCGGAGGAUUUUGUAUUUUGUGAUAUUCAAACCAGCGCUUUAUAAUCAGAUUUUCAA
Molecule: long non-coding RNA, 3481 nt
Organism: Trifolium pratense (red clover)
Lineage: Eukaryota; Viridiplantae; Streptophyta; Magnoliopsida; Fabales; Fabaceae
Exons: 2
Source: RefSeq, a predicted model, not a curated record